CGAGCGGCGGACGGGUGAGUAAUGCUUGGGAACAUGCCUUGAGGUGGGGGACAACAGUUGGAAACGACUGCUAAUACCGCAUAAUGUCUACGGACCAAAGGGGGCUUCGGCUCUCGCCUUUAGAUUGGCCCAAGUGGGAUUAGCUAGUUGGUGAGGUAAUGGCUCACCAAGGCGACGAUCCCUAGCUGGUUUGAGAGGAUGAUCAGCCACACUGGGACUGAGACACGGCCCAGACUCCUACGGGAGGCAGCAGUGGGGAAUAUUGCACAAUGGGCGCAAGCCUGAUGCAGCCAUGCCGCGUGUGUGAAGAAGGCCUUCGGGUUGUAAAGCACUUUCAGUCAGGAGGAAAGGUUAGUAGUUAAUACCUGCUAGCUGUGACGUUACUGACAGAAGAAGCACCG
This 401-nucleotide ribosomal RNA is filed under the name gamma proteobacterium Ao-2. Its description in RNAcentral is "bacterial SSU rRNA". It matches the Rfam family "Bacterial small subunit ribosomal RNA", at positions 92 to 495 of the family's 1533-position model. Lineage: Bacteria; Pseudomonadati; Pseudomonadota; Gammaproteobacteria. The record is from RNAcentral.